AAAGUCCGCCAGACAGUCGCUGCUUGGAAUUAUCCAAGGGGAGGAAAGUCCGGGCUCCACAGGGUAAGGUGCCAGGUAACGCCUGGGGGGUGUAAGCCCACGGCCAGUGCAACAGAGAGUAGACCGCCAAACCCGCAAUUGCGGGCGGUAAGGGUGAAAGGGUGCGGUAAGAGCGCACCGCGCUGAUGGUAACAUCCAGCGGCAUGGUAAACCCCACCUGGAGCAAGACCAAAUAGGGUUCCUAUAGGCGUGACCCGCGCUGGAACCGGGUAGGUCGCUUGAGAUCUGUGGUGACGCAGGUCCUAGAUGAAUGGCUGUCCAUGACAGAACCCGGCUUACGGCGGACUUUCAAA
This 353-nucleotide RNase P RNA is filed under the name Gammaproteobacteria bacterium. RNAcentral's name for it is "RNase P RNA component class A". It matches the Rfam family "Bacterial RNase P class A". Rfam says of the family: Ribonuclease P (RNase P) is a ubiquitous endoribonuclease, found in archaea, bacteria and eukarya as well as chloroplasts and mitochondria. Its best characterised activity is the generation of mature 5'-ends of tRNAs by cleaving the 5'-leader elements of precursor-tRNAs. The record is from RNAcentral. Lineage: Bacteria; Pseudomonadati; Pseudomonadota; Gammaproteobacteria.